Molecule: ribosomal RNA, 291 nt
Filed under: uncultured bacterium
Lineage: Bacteria
Description: partial 16S ribosomal RNA
Rfam family: Archaeal small subunit ribosomal RNA
Source: RNAcentral
GUGCAGCAGCGCGGUAAUACCGGCAGCCCGAGUGAUGGCCGAUCUUAUUGGGCCUAAAGCGUCCGUAGCUGGCUGCGCAAGUCCGUCGGGAAAUCCACUCGCCCAACGAGUGGGCGUCCGACGGAAACUGCACAGCUUGGGACCGGAAGGCUCGAAGGGUACGUUCGGGGUAGGAGUGAAAUCCCAUAAUCCCGCACGGACCACCGAUGGCGAAAGCACUUCGAGAUAACGGAUCCGUCAGUGAGGGACGAAAGCCAGGGUCUCCAACCGGAUUAGAAACCCCAGUAGUCC